RNAcentral lists this long non-coding RNA (217 nucleotides) under Solanum tuberosum (potato). Its description in RNAcentral is "long non-coding RNA (STUB_LNC003165)". Lineage: Eukaryota; Viridiplantae; Streptophyta; Magnoliopsida; Solanales; Solanaceae. The record is from RNAcentral.
UUGGGCCCGUGCUGGCACGGGCCAUGCCCAUCUAGUAUAAGAGGAGGGAAAGUGAGAAGAAGAAAAAAAGAAUAUUUGGUGAGAUUUUUGUAUGUUAUCACUAUUCCACUUGUUGACUCGCAGGUAUAUGAAUGUGAGUGAAUGGUACGAAUUUUAAAACUUGUGAUCUAAAAUGAAUAAUAGAAAUUUGUGUGGUUAUAAAAUAUUUUAUUAAGGG